This 281-nucleotide ribosomal RNA is filed under the name uncultured Bacillus sp. Its description in RNAcentral is "partial 16S ribosomal RNA". It matches the Rfam family "Bacterial small subunit ribosomal RNA", at positions 505 to 784 of the family's 1533-position model. The record is from RNAcentral. Lineage: Bacteria; Bacillati; Bacillota; Bacilli; Caryophanales; Bacillaceae.
GUGCCAGCCGCCGCGGUAAUACGUAGGUGGCAAGCGUUGUCCGGAAUUAUUGGGCGUAAAGCGCGCGCAGGCGGUCCUUUAAGUCUGAUGUGAAAGCCCACGGCUCAACCGUGGAGGGUCAUUGGAAACUGGGGGACUUGAGUGCAGAAGAGGAAAGCGGAAUUCCACGUGUAGCGGUGAAAUGCGUAGAGAUGUGGAGGAACACCAGUGGCGAAGGCGGCUUUCUNGGUCUGUAACUGACGCUGAGGCGCGAAAGCGUGGGGAGCAAACAGGAUUAGAUA